AUGCGGAGGGGGCUAGCGUUGUUCGGAAUUACUGGGCGUAAAGCGCACGUAGGCGGCUUUGUAAGUCAGAGGUGAAAGCCUGGAGCUCAACUCCAGAACUGCCUUUGAGACUGCAUCGCUUGAAUCCAGGAGAGGUCAGUGGAAUUCCGAGUGUAGAGGUGAAAUUCGUAGAUAUUCGGAAGAACACCAGUGGCGAAGGCGGCUGACUGGACUGGUAUUGACGCUGAGGUGCGAAAGCGUGGGGAGCAAACAGGAUUAGAAACCCCGGUAGUCC
This 274-nucleotide ribosomal RNA is filed under the name uncultured bacterium. RNAcentral describes it as "partial 16S ribosomal RNA". It matches the Rfam family "Bacterial small subunit ribosomal RNA", at positions 523 to 796 of the family's 1533-position model. The record is from RNAcentral.